GACGAACGCUGGCGGCGUGCUUAACACAUGCAAGUCGAACGGAAAGGCCCUGCUUUUGUGGGGUGCUCGAGUGGCGAACGGGGGAGUAACACGUGAGUAACCUGCCCUUGACUUUGGGAUAACUUCAGGAAACUGGGGCUAAUACCGGAUAGGGGCUCCCGCUGCAUGGUGGGGGUUGGAAAGUUUCGGCGGUUGGGGAUGGACUCGCGGCUUAUCAGCUUGUUGGUGGGGUAGUGGCUUACCAAGGCUUUGACGGGUAGCCGGCCUGAGAGGGUGACCGGCCACAUUGGGACUGAGAUACGGCCCAGACUCCUACGGGAGGCAGCAGUGGGGAAUAUUGCACAAUGGGCGGAAGCCUGAUGCAGCAACGCCGCGUGCGGGAUGACGGCCUUCGGGUUGUAAACCGCUUUCGCCUGUGACGAAGCGUGAGUGACGGUAAUGGGUAAAGAAGCACCGGCUAACUACGUG
Molecule: ribosomal RNA, 468 nt
Filed under: uncultured bacterium
Lineage: Bacteria
Description: partial 16S ribosomal RNA
Rfam family: Bacterial small subunit ribosomal RNA
Source: RNAcentral